RNAcentral lists this ribosomal RNA (292 nucleotides) under uncultured bacterium. RNAcentral describes it as "partial 16S ribosomal RNA". It matches the Rfam family "Bacterial small subunit ribosomal RNA", at positions 338 to 648 of the family's 1533-position model. The record is from RNAcentral.
CCUACGGGGGGCAGCAGUGAGGGAUAUUGGUCAAUGGGGGAAACCCUGAACCAGCAACGCCGCGUGAGGGAAGACGGUUUUCGGAUUGUAAACCUCUGUCCUCUGUGAAGAUAAUGACGGUAGCAGAGGAGGAAGCUCCGGCUAACUACGUGCCAGCAGCCGCGGUAAUACGUAGGUGGCAAGCGUUGUCCGGAAUUACUGGGUGUAAAGGGAGCGUAGGCGGGAAGACAAGUUGAAUGUUUAAACUAUCGGCUCAACCGAUAAUCGCGUUCAAAACUGUUUUUCUUGAGUG